GACGAACGCUGGCGGCGUGCUUAACACAUGCAAGUCGAACGGAAAGGCCCUGCUUUUGUGGGGUGCUCGAGUGGCGAACGGGUGAGUAACACGUGAGUAACCUGCCCUUGACUUUGGGAUAACUUCAGGAAACUGGGGCUAAUACCGGAUAGGAGCUCCUGCUGCAUGGUGGGGGUUGGAAAGUUUCGGCGGUUGGGGAUGGACUCGCGGCUUAUCAGCUUGUUGGUGGGGUAGUGGCUUACCAAGGUUUUGACGGGUAGCCGGCCUGAGAGGGUGACCGGCCACAAUGGGCCUGAGAGACGGCCCAGAAGGCUACGGGAGGCAGCAGGGGGGAAUAUUGCACAAUGGGCGGGAGCCUGAUGCAGCAACGCCGGGUGCGGGAUAACGGCCUUUGGGGUGUAAACCGCUUUCGCCUGUGACGAAGCGGGAGUGACGGUAAUGGGUAAAGAAGCACCGGCUAACUACGUG
RNAcentral lists this ribosomal RNA (468 nucleotides) under uncultured bacterium. Its description in RNAcentral is "partial 16S ribosomal RNA". It matches the Rfam family "Bacterial small subunit ribosomal RNA", at positions 28 to 507 of the family's 1533-position model. The record is from RNAcentral.